GGGGGGGUUCCAGAGCGGUCAAAUGGGGCAGACUGUAAAUCUGUUGGCGUAGCCUUCGCAGGUUCGAAUCCUGCCCCCCCCA
This 82-nucleotide transfer RNA is filed under the name Bacteroidota bacterium. RNAcentral's name for it is "Bacteroidetes bacterium tRNA-Tyr". It matches the Rfam family "tRNA". From Rfam's summary of the family: Transfer RNA (tRNA) molecules are approximately 80 nucleotides in length. Their secondary structure includes four short double-helical elements and three loops (D, anti-codon, and T loops). The record is from RNAcentral. Lineage: Bacteria; Pseudomonadati; Bacteroidota.